AAUGUAAGGAGUCAGGUGAAAUACUAUUGUUGCUAUUAUUAGUCGGUGGAGAAGUUGGAUUGCUGGAAUUGCUCAUUUCGCUUCCGCUGAUGGUGUUUGGCGGACUUGUCUCUCCAGCUCCAACCCCUGUGUUUGCUUCAUCGCCGGUCCAAUCUGUCACUCCGCUUACUUGCGACUGUUGGUAUACCGGCUGAUGAUGCUGGUAUUGGAGGUGUGUGUACGCGUGAGCAUGAUGUGACCAGCUCGGUAGAACCUCCGCCGGAUCCAAAUACUGCUGUCCAGCAGCCUGGUGGUGUACUCCGUGCGGAUGUCCAUGGUACCCGUACCAGUAUUGUUGGCUACCGUCGGCAACAGAUGAAUUAUUCGCGUGCUGUUGCGUCUGUUGCACUUGAGUUUGUUGCAUCUGUUGCCCUAAUGGUUGUUGGCCAACAAUCGGUUGCUGUUGCCGGUACAUUGCGAACGGAGUGUAAUAAGACAUCAUACCGAGCCCGCUGAUGUCCGCCAUUGAGCGAAGAGGCUAUUUUCCGAAGUGGAAUGAUGCACGCACGGAUUCCCGGGAUGCACUACACAGAACGAAUGGUACUGGUCAUUAGUUAGAUGACCGUUGAACACCCGGGAUCUUAUUGAGAUCUUGGUUACGACUGCUUUCUGAUUUGUGACCAACGAGUGAGGAUGCGACGACUUUACUUAAAUAGCAAAGUCCGCCUACAGCGUGCUUUUGUCCCCACCACGCGGUCACUUUUCCGCCAAUCGUCAUUCGACUCUCCACUCUCCAACCGUAAUGGCCGUUCGACCAUCGUCCCGACGCCCAAACAUGCCGCUAUUCGAUAAAAUACGCGCAGAAGGCGGUCCUCACGCCUCCGAAAACUCGAUUCCCAUGUAAAAGAUGCGAAAUAGACAAUAUUUUUCCCGCUUAUCGCACUUUACCAGCACUUGUCCACGUUAUGAAAAUAUAUCUUCUGUCUUUGUGUGUUUACAUGACCUCUACUUCUAGUGGGAGAAUUCUUUUAAUUGCAUGCAAGAAAGUUAAAAUUGUUAGAUUUGACUUUCACGAUAUU
Apis florea (little honeybee) is the source of this 1058-nucleotide long non-coding RNA. The record is from RefSeq and is a predicted model, not a curated record. Lineage: Eukaryota; Metazoa; Arthropoda; Insecta; Hymenoptera; Apidae.